GACAAAGCCCGGGGCAUAAAACCCAGGAGGAGCCUUCAGGAUACUGCUGCUGCCUUUAUGUCAGUAAACGGUUCUGAUCCGGUUAGAAAUCAGUUAGAGGUUCUGAUCCAGACCCGGCUAUAUGUCAGGUAACGGUUCUGAUCCGGUUAGAAAUCAGUUAGAGGUUCUGAUCCAAAAGGUUCUGAUCACCAUAUCAACUUCCAUAUCACAUAAGCAUUUUAAUUCUUCCGAUGAGAAGUCUGUCUAACUUAUAAACCAUGGAAUCAUUAAAGUUUAGAUGUUUUAAAUCAGUUUUAAAUCAGCCGUAUUGUUCAGUAAAUAAUUAUGGUUCCAGCAGCAAAAAACAGACCAAUAAAUGGGAUAAUAAUCACUAUUUUAGGUUGAAGAGUUGUUUUGAAGGCUAACACAGUUAAGUCAUUUUUUAUUGUGCAUGAAGAGCUAUGCAGGAUAAAAUGUGAAUGCAGCUCUUUAUAAAUUAGUUUCCUGAAGAAUAUCUUAACAAACAUCUAUCUGUGAUUCCAACCUCUGCUUUAAAUAAGGCGGCUGUGAUUUAUGAGACUGUCUGAAUGUACUUAUGACAAUUUACUCUGUUUACCUUGUUUUUCUGCUUAUUUAUAGUGUUCCAUAUUUUAGUAGCCCUCUUGAUAAAGAGUCUUAACUUUUAAAAGUUUAGUACACUUAAAUAUAUAUUCUGUUUUUCUAGGAGCUAUAAGGAAUAAUCCCUGGUCAGCAGGUGCAGCAGAUCCUAAAAUAAUUUAGUUAUCGCUGGUUAAACCUCGCUGGUGACAAAGAACACCAAAAACCCAAAGCUUCAACUUAAAGGUGUUGAUUGGAAAUGAAGUUUCCAUUAAAUUUGAUGUUUGUUAUUCUGCGUCUGUUUGUUUGGACUGUUUGGUUAAAUUUCAGGACUAUUGAGAAAUGGUUGAUAUUUACACUAAAACUAUUUUUUUUUUAAUAUUCAUAGAUCUGGUGUUCAGACUAUUAAGAUUUGUUUGUGUGGAAAAAAAAAACAAUCACUUUAAUGUUAUUUUUACAUUUAUACAUUUCAUAUUGUGUCAGCUAUUUAAAUAACCAUGGUCUAAUGAUAUAUUCUCGUGAUAAAUCAUUUAUUUUU
Fundulus heteroclitus (mummichog) is the source of this 1114-nucleotide long non-coding RNA. RefSeq lists it as uncharacterized. Lineage: Eukaryota; Metazoa; Chordata; Actinopteri; Cyprinodontiformes; Fundulidae. The record is from RefSeq and is a predicted model, not a curated record. The transcript is spliced from 2 exons.